AUGGAGAUUGCCUACCCCUACGGCGGGGAGUUCACGAGGAAGCACGGCUUCGUGACAGGCCGGCCGUUUGACGCCAAGACCGGCAUCAUGUCCGGCCCCAAGCGCGCGAGGGAGAUGGAGAUCCUUUGGCAGCGCUUCCAAGCAGAGCUCGUCGCCGUCCAUGGCCUCCUCCACAAGGCGGCCGCCGUGCUAGCUCCCGCCUCGUCCCCGUCGGCUCCCCGCGUCAAGAAGAGUUGUCCAAGGUUCUUGGCCGACGAGCCGCCGGCCAAGAAGAGGAAGGCGUCUCCUCCCGUUCCUGUGAUCAAGCGCAAGCCUACGAAGAAGAAGAUGACGGCCUCUGAGAGGGAGAUGCUCGCGGAAGACCUGGAGCUGUUCGUUGCGGAAAUCCCCGAUCACAUCGUCGAGCUCUUGAAGAAGCAGAGUUGUGCCGUCUGCAGCAACGAAAUCGAGAUCGACAUCCACGCGCUGGACAACGCCGCCGUCGUUGAGUUGCAAGGGCAGGUUGACAAGUUCGCUCGAGAGAGGAGAACAGCGAAUCCGUCGGCGCAAGAACGGCACCAAGACGGCCCUAAGCAAUCUGUGUCGGCACCUCUGCUGCAAGAACGGCAUCAAGACGACCGUAAACCCAUGGCCGAAGAGGAGGAGGAGGAAGAUGUUGACAUCUGCGGUGGCGUCUCCCCAUUACCGAUUGUGCCGGCACCUCUGCUGCUCGUCGAAGAUGAAACUGCCAGUGGCAGCCCAAGCUCCAGCAGCAGCAGUUUAGAUACUGAUUCCAGCGACAGCGAUUCAGAUACUGAUUCCGGCAGCAGCGACUCAGGUUCAGAGCACUCGGGCGGUAGUGAUUCAGAUUCUGAUUUAGACGAGAUCGUCGACAGCCCAACUCCUCCAACAUGCGAGCAGCUCGCCCGUGCUCUAGAAAGGCAGGCCACGUCCCGGGCGAAGGAGAAGGCCCGUCAGGAAGUGCUCGAGACGAAGAGGACGGCAAUGCCCGACAAUACCCUAUACCCAGAGGACCUGAGGAGGCUCAGCAUUGAUGAGUACAACACGGCGAGGCCCAACAACCUGUUGCGAAAGAUUGGACUCUACCUCAAGGUUGACGACCACGACUGGAAGCAGCGGCAGCACCACCGUCAAAGCUUCGAAGAAGACCUAGAGGAAGGGGAGAUUCCAUCGUGA
This 1176-nucleotide ribosomal RNA is filed under the name Triticum aestivum (bread wheat). RNAcentral's name for it is "partial small subunit ribosomal RNA". The record is from RNAcentral. Lineage: Eukaryota; Viridiplantae; Streptophyta; Magnoliopsida; Poales; Poaceae.